Molecule: transfer RNA, 72 nt
Organism: Coccidioides immitis RS
Lineage: Eukaryota; Fungi; Ascomycota; Eurotiomycetes; Onygenales; Onygenaceae
Rfam family: tRNA
About the family: Transfer RNA (tRNA) molecules are approximately 80 nucleotides in length. Their secondary structure includes four short double-helical elements and three loops (D, anti-codon, and T loops). Further hydrogen bonds mediate the characteristic L-shaped molecular structure. tRNAs have two regions of fundamental functional importance: the anti-codon, which is responsible for specific mRNA codon recognition, and the 3' end, to which the tRNAs corresponding amino acid is attached (by aminoacyl-tRNA synthetases). tRNAs cope with the degeneracy of the genetic code in two manners: having more than one tRNA (with a specific anti-codon) for a particular amino acid; and 'wobble' base-pairing, i.e. permitting non-standard base-pairing at the 3rd anti-codon position.
Source: Rfam
GCCCCAGUAGCCCAAUGGUAGGGCGUCAGACUUCUAAUCUGAAGGUUGGCGGUUCGAGCCCGCCCUGGGGUG